Molecule: ribosomal RNA, 251 nt
Filed under: uncultured bacterium
Lineage: Bacteria
Description: partial 16S ribosomal RNA
Rfam family: Bacterial small subunit ribosomal RNA
Source: RNAcentral
GACGGGGGGGGCAAGUGUUCUUCGGAAUGACUGGGCGUAAAGGGCACGUAGGCGGUGAAUCGGGUUGAAAGUGAAAGUCGCCAAAAAGUGGCGGAAUGCUCUCGAAACCAAUUCACUUGAGUGAGACAGAGGAGAGUGGAAUUCCCGGUGUAGCGGUGAAAUGCGCAGAUAUCGGGAGGAACACCAAUGGCGAAGGCAGCUCGCUGGGACGGUACUGACGCUGAGACGCGAAAGCGUGGGGAGCAAACAGG